UACGUAGGGAGCAAGCGUUGUCCGGAAUCAUUGGGCGUAAAGCGCGCGUAGGCGGCCCUGUAAGUCCGUUGUGAAAGUCAAAGGCUCAACCUUUGAAAGCCGAUGGAUACUGCAGGGCUAGAGUCCGGAAGAGGCGAGUGGAAUUCCUGGUGUAACGGUGGAAUGCGCAGAUAUCAGGAGGAACACCAAUAGCGAAGGCAGCUCGCUGGGACGGUACUGACGCUAAGGCGCGAAAGCGUGGGGAGCGAACAGG
RNAcentral lists this ribosomal RNA (253 nucleotides) under uncultured bacterium. Its description in RNAcentral is "partial 16S ribosomal RNA". It matches the Rfam family "Bacterial small subunit ribosomal RNA", at positions 524 to 776 of the family's 1533-position model. The record is from RNAcentral.